This 471-nucleotide long non-coding RNA is filed under the name Apteryx owenii (little spotted kiwi). RNAcentral describes it as "lncRNA (ENSAOWG00000013374.1)". Lineage: Eukaryota; Metazoa; Chordata; Aves; Apterygiformes; Apterygidae. The record is from RNAcentral.
UCACCUUGACUGAUUUUUCUAUUCCCUGUUCACCUCUUCAUGACAUUUGGCAGGUCACUUGAUAUAAAAUAUGCAAACAGUGAACUGAAAUAGCCCAAAUAUGCUGAAAUAYGCUGACUGAACCUGCUGUCUUAAAGUGGCUAUGCAUCUUUGAGCAGAGCUUGUGCAUACAAACCUACCUCUUAUGAACAUGGGGAUUACCUAUUCAAACUCUCCUGACAUGAUAGUUUCUAAAAACAUAAGAAGAAAAGAACAGUGAGAAGGAAGAAAGGCAGUAAUAGAGAAAUUAAAGGACUGAAGAAAGCAAGUAAAGGAAAAUCAGGACAUUUUCAGGCAGCCAGAUGCACUGUGGCCGGUGGCUGCAUAAUCAUCUGCAGAGUAGAAAGGGUGACAUGAAGGAGGAAUGAAUGGGGAAGACUUCUUAAACUAGCUGAAGAAGUACCAUCUCCAAGUGGGUAGUCACAGAUUGAG